GCGAAAGGAACAGAUACAUCAAGGGGCGACAAAGUUAGCAAACGCUGAUCAUUGGCCAUGGAGGUCCUGAAGAAAAGAAGUGUGUUUUUGAGGUCCAGAAAGUGUGUGCUACACUGAAGGUGUAGUCUAUGAUUUAUAGAUGAAUUAUCAGCUUCAAAAGUCAAAGACUAUUGAAACAGUGACAAGUUGGAUGCUCAGCCCAGUGCAGCUUGGAACAGGACACUAGCAAGCUUUUUGUUUCGAGGACAAGCAGCAUGAGAGUUUUUGGAAAGCUGACGUAUUUGUUGUCAAAAAGGAACUAGGAUGAAAAGCCUUCUGCCUGGAUGUGCUCAGCUUUUACAUUAAAAGGACGUGAUUGCUUUCUGCCAACACACUGCAUUAGAGGUAGAAAAGCUAGGACCAGUGCUACUUAAUUUAUUCAUCAGUGAUGUGGAAUCGGGGACGAGUAGUGAGGUUUGAGAAUGAUACCAAAUUAUUCAUGGUGGGGAAAACCCAAACAGAUUGUGAAGACCCCCAAAAGGACAUCUCCAAACUGAGUGAAUGGGCAACAAAAUGGCAAAAUAAAUUUAAUGUAAAUAAGUUGUAACCCUUCAUAUGUCCUUAAAUCUAAGAUGAAUUGAUCCCAGUCUUGCCACUUUUCCUCCAGCUGAUUUCAGCACAUUGUUAUGCACUGCCUUGAGUGGAGGAAGGAUGAUUAAAAUGAAAUGAAAAGUCAAAUA
Hemicordylus capensis (graceful crag lizard) is the source of this 719-nucleotide long non-coding RNA. RefSeq lists it as uncharacterized. The record is from RefSeq and is a predicted model, not a curated record. The transcript is spliced from 3 exons. NCBI's taxonomy places the organism in Eukaryota, Metazoa, Chordata, Lepidosauria, Squamata, Cordylidae.